GACGAACGCUGGCGGCGUGCUUAACACAUGCAAGUCGAACGGUAAGGCUCCAGCUUGCUGGGGUACACGAGUGGCGAACGGGUGAGUAACACGUGGGUGACCUUCCCUGCACUUCGGGAUAAGCCUGGGAAACUGGGUCUAAUACCGGAUAGGACCGCACCGAGGGGGUGGGGUGGAAAGUUUUGUCGGUGUGGGAUGGGCCCGCGGCCUAUCAGCUUGUUGGUGGGGUAAUGGCCUACCAAGGCGGCGACGGGUAGCCGGCCUGAGAGGGUGGACGGCCACAUUGGGCUUGAGGAAGGGCCCAGACGCAUACGGGAGGAAGGGGUGGGAAAUAUUGCCAAAUGGGCGGAAGCUGGAUGCAGGGACGCCGGGUGGGGGAUGACGGCAUUCGGGUUGUAAACUCAUUUCACCAUCGCCGAAGGGUUUCUGCGGGUAGAUGAAAAAGAAGCACCGGUUAACUACGG
RNAcentral lists this ribosomal RNA (464 nucleotides) under uncultured bacterium. RNAcentral's name for it is "partial 16S ribosomal RNA". It matches the Rfam family "Bacterial small subunit ribosomal RNA", at positions 28 to 506 of the family's 1533-position model. The record is from RNAcentral.